ACGCUCGACACCUACGGGGCAGCAGUGAGGAAUAUUGGUCAAUGGGCGCAGGCCUGAACCAGCCAAGUAGCGUGAAGGAUGACUGCCCUAUGGGUUGUAAACUUCUUUUAUAUGGGAAUAAAGUUUUCCACGUGUGGAAUUUUGUAUGUACCAUAUGAAUAAGGAUCGGCUAACUCCGUGUCAGCAGCCGCGGUAAUCUGAGGCGGGCUGGCAAGGC
This 217-nucleotide ribosomal RNA is filed under the name uncultured bacterium. RNAcentral's name for it is "partial 16S ribosomal RNA". It matches the Rfam family "Bacterial small subunit ribosomal RNA", at positions 326 to 539 of the family's 1533-position model. The record is from RNAcentral.